Meriones unguiculatus (Mongolian gerbil) is the source of this 2246-nucleotide long non-coding RNA. RefSeq lists it as uncharacterized. The transcript has 4 exons. The record is from RefSeq and is a predicted model, not a curated record. NCBI's taxonomy places the organism in Eukaryota, Metazoa, Chordata, Mammalia, Rodentia, Muridae.
GUUGAUUUUCUGGCUUCAGUUGUCCCUCCACUCACCAAUUUCUCAGUUUCAGAACAUUUGCCUCUCAGAUAUGGUGCACGCUGGUCACUGCCAACUCUGAUCUGACUGGGAGGCUUCAGUUUGGAUGUAUCCAGUUCCAUGGACGUCUGAGAUGAUACUUUUUCCAUUGUUUGAGGAUUAUUUAUUGUUCGGAAAGGUCAGGCAUUAUAGCACCAUCACUUUGUGUGUGUUCAGCAAUCGCAGAAAACCAGGAACUCCAAGAUGGUUUGGUCCUGCUGUGUCAAAUGCAGGAGGAUGAGAUCCAUCAGAUCAGUGGGAUUGCAGCCUCUGAACUAGGGAGCUCAACCAUAGCUGCAGAAUUGGGAAGCCAAUGCAGAUCCUUUACAUCUCAGAUAUUGUACACACUGGUCACUGCCACCUCUGAUCUGACUGGGAGGCUUCAGCCAGCAGCAGAUAAGACUGAUGCUGGGACUUGCUUCCAAGCAUGGAGUAGAACUCUGGGAGUCUUGUAUAAGUGUUGGGGGAAACAUUCAAGGACCUGGAGAGGACAGAAACCCACAAGAAGACCAACAGAGACAACUAACCAAGUCCCAUGUGGAUUUUCAGAGAGUGAUAUAGCAACUACAGGGCAUGCAUGAUUUUGAACUAGGCUCUCUACACAUAAGCAGCCAAUGGGAGCCUUGGUCUUCAUAUGAGACACCAGACAAGUGGAAAGUGGGAGGCUGUUUCCAACGUGAACUCUAUUGCCUGCUUUUAGAUAACUUCACCCUGUCCAGGCUGCCUUGUAUGACCUCAAGUGAUGAAAUAAGUAUAGUCAUGAUGUGACUUUAUGUGUUGGGAAAAGUUCAUCUGAGCCUCCCUUUUUCUGGAAGAGGAGAAGGGAGAAGGAGGGAAAGUGCAGAAAACUGGGAGGAGGAGAGGGUAUCCUCAUGAUGUAAAGUAAAUAAACUUAUAUAAAAUGAAAAGAAGAAGAAGAAGAAUGAAAAAAAGGCAAAGGACACUGUCAUUCGGACAAGGUGGCAGCCAACAAAAUGGAACACAUUUUUACCAACUCCAUAAAAAGAAACUCAGUAAACUCAGUUUCAGUAAAAUAGGAUAAAGGUAGUGCAAUGGUAUGGAAAUUCAAACUUGGAUAGAGAUACAAAUAAACAAGAAAGUUCAAGCACUGUCAAUGGGUGUUAACACUGAUAUAUAUAUUUUGAAAAACUGGCAGUUCCUCUUUAUGUGGAACAUAGAGAAACCUGCAUGACAACGAUCUUAUUUUUUAUUAUUUGAGAAUUCUAUAUAUUCAUAUUAUGCAUUUUCAUCUAACCAAUCCCUUCCCAUCCCAACAGUUUAUUAUCCAUACUCCUUCUUUUCUUGUAGAUUUAAUGUGCUCUUUUAAAAAACUCAUUGAGUGAUGGGAGUACUAAACUAUUUUCUGAUUAGAUUGAACUACUACUCAACAAGAUAGAACUGGUGAAGAAGAAGAAGAAGAAGAAGAAGAAGAAGAAGAAGAAGAAGAAGAAGAAGAAGAAGAAGAAGAAGAAGAAGAAGAAGAAGAAGAAGAAGAAGAACUGGUGCUGCAUCUCUACAAAACUACAGAAAACAGUGGCUUCCAGGUCCCAGGAACAAGCUCAUAGUAUUAUUCUACUAAAUUCAGCCAUUAAUAAAUUGAUCCCUAUUUUUUUAACUUUAUCCUCAUUGAUGAGUGCUUCCAAUGAUUUUCCUUUCCAGAUAAGCCUCUUUAUCAUGGAUGUUGAUUAAUAGGGAAGCUCAUAACAGAAAAUACAUGCAGAAAAUAAUAUCCCACUUUUAUGUAUAUGUUUCAAAACAAAUUUCUACUGUUAUUAUUAGGGACAAAACUCCAAAAUGUAUGAGUUUGUGUCUUAGUCAGGGAUGUAUUGCUGUGAAGUGUCAUCAUGACCAUGAGAAGAAGUAAUCCAUGAGAACUAUAUCCAAUUUUCCUUAAAGGGGGUUGGAGGACAUCCUGUGUGGGUUGAAAAAGAGUGGCAAUCUAGGAGAAACUGGUGGCCAGCCUUUCACUUCAGCUUAUUUUGGGCAAAGAGUGAUUGGAAGGCAGAUGCUGAUUUGGCUUGUGAGAAAGCAUUUGUAGUUGGAAUCCUUUUAGGGAAAGGUUGUAGAUAUUUUUGGUAUAUUUUGAAACAUGAUCAUGAAACCUUGAAGAAGAAAAUUAAGAGGAUGAAGUCUGUGAAAAAAUAUACUAUUGUAAAUCCAGAUGUUUACACCUAGACCUUAAGCUAUUU